GAACGCACAUUGCGCCCCUUGGUAUCCCGAGGGGCAUGCCUGUUCGAGCGUCAUUUCACCUCUCAAGCCUGGCUUGGUGUUGGGCGACGUCCCCUUUGGGGACGCGCCUCGAAACGCUCGGCGGCGUGGCACCGGCUUUAAGCGUAGCAGAAUCUUUCGCUUUGGAAGUCGGGGCCCCGUCUGCCGGAAGACCUACUCGCAAGGUUGACCUCGGAUCAGGCAGGGAUACCCGCUGAACUUAAG
This 243-nucleotide unclassified non-coding RNA is filed under the name uncultured Cenococcum. RNAcentral's name for it is "sequence contains 5.8S rRNA gene". The stretch from base 1 to 53 matches the Rfam family "5.8S ribosomal RNA", at positions 102 to 154 of the family's 154-position model. Lineage: Eukaryota; Fungi; Ascomycota; Dothideomycetes; Gloniales; Gloniaceae. The record is from RNAcentral.